RNAcentral lists this ribosomal RNA (460 nucleotides) under uncultured bacterium. RNAcentral describes it as "partial 16S ribosomal RNA". It matches the Rfam family "Bacterial small subunit ribosomal RNA", at positions 338 to 795 of the family's 1533-position model. The record is from RNAcentral.
CCUACGGGGAGCAGCAGUGAGGAAUAUUGGUCAAUGGACGGAAGUCUGAACCAGCCAUGCCGCGUGCAGGAAGACGGCUCUAUGAGUUGUAAACUGCUUUUGUACAAGGGUAAACCUGAAUACGUGUAUUCAGCUGAAAGUACUGUACGAAUAAGGAUCGGCUAACUCCGUGCCAGCAGCCGCGGUAAUACGGAGGAUCCAAGCGUUAUCCGGAUUUAUUGGGUUUAAAGGGUGCGUAGGCGGAUUGAUAAGUUAGAGGUGAAAUGUCCGAGCUUAACUCGGGAACUGCCUCUAAUACUGUUGGUCUAGAGAGUAGAUGCGGUAGGCGGAAUGUAUGGUGUAGCGGUGAAAUGCUUAGAGAUCAUACAGAACACCGAGUGCGAAGGCAGCUUACCAAUCUAUAUCUGACGUUGAGGCACGAAAGCGUGGGGAGCAAACAGGAUUAGAUACCCUUGUAGUC